Molecule: small nuclear RNA, 126 nt
Organism: Phragmites australis (common reed)
Lineage: Eukaryota; Viridiplantae; Streptophyta; Magnoliopsida; Poales; Poaceae
Source: RefSeq, a predicted model, not a curated record
GUGUUCGUAGAAAGGAGAGACGGUUGGCAUCUCCCCUGAUAGGGACGGGAAGGGCCCUCGGGCUUUCCUAUAGCAUACACUGUGGUUAAGGCUAUCCGCUUCGGUAGAUCUUACCCAAGUUUUUUU